Molecule: long non-coding RNA, 220 nt
Filed under: Hordeum vulgare
Lineage: Eukaryota; Viridiplantae; Streptophyta; Magnoliopsida; Poales; Poaceae
Description: long non-coding RNA (HVUL_LNC015216)
Source: RNAcentral
GUCAAGAUGCCGGCCGUGGUGCUCGCUUUCCUCCUGCGCAGAUUGCUGGAUAUGGAUCAAGGUAAGGCAAUUAGUGCGUCUGUCAAGUGUUUGAGGAAAUGCAUCCAUGAGAAGAAGCUAUAGAUUUUGAGUGUUAAUUAACUCCCUGUGAGAACUAUUGUCUCGUGGUGAUAUAUAUUAAUGUAGGUAGGUUGUAAAAGUAGUCACUGGUUAAUACUAG